AAGAAUGAUCCCCGUUGGGGAUGACGGAUCCGGGGAUGGUAUGCUGGUCUCCAUCCCCGAUCCCCGUAAACCCGCUCCGUCAAGCAGGCAUCAAGGCACCGCGCAACCGCAAUCAGGCAACCAGGCCCAUGUAAAGGCCCAAGUAUUGGCUCAGAGUAUAUAUACGCAACAUCUUCUAAACCUAAUUCCCCACUCCCCAAUCCUAUCCAUUUUCUCCACCGGCCGCCGCUCUCCCUGUGUGGCUGUGCGGUGCCCAACAAUCCUAUUCUGUCCAUUUUCUCCUGUCUGCAGUCCGUCUUCACUAGAUCUCUACUCUGGCCAACAAUACACAGUUCCAUGCUCUUGAGUCUUGACGAGAAGUCUGGCCGCCGUGCUCCUACCUCUCCGUGUCUGGUUGCCAGCAAUCCUGGAGGCUGGUCCGUAGGAAGUCUGUCUCUACCUCAUCAGAUGCUUGAUGCGUACUGGUGCUGGAGCAGCACUAGUGUGUUUUCUUUAGUUCUUUAUUAGUGUUUGUGUCCUAUGCUUGUGUAUGUAUCAUGAAAACUUGUGAUUUGUGAACAUAUGGCUAUGCUUUUUUUGUUGCGUAUGUGCUGGACACCUCAACAGCUAUAUGCAACUGAUAAACCUUGUUGCCUUGCUAUUGGAAUGGAUUGCUUAGACUUUUCUGUACCGUGAAUCUAUGAGUAAACUUUCGUGUGGUUUGGUUUCUCUGGGAAACUUUUUGUUACCGUGUUCGGGGAUGGGGAUCUCCACGGGGACUAAAUCCCCGGCGGGGAACGGGGAUGGGGAAGAAAUGUCCCCGUUGAUGUUCACGGGGGCGGUGACGGGGAAAAUUCUUCCCCGCGGGGACGGGGAUGGUGGCUUAUUACCCGAGGGGGAAUUCCCCGUUGCCAUAGCUAAGGACGAUCGCUUUCUCGAGCCGCCAUUCGUAGCCCCGUAGAUCCAUCGCCGAAGUUUUAGAUCUCAUUCCCGGCGAACUUUUCCGGCGAACGUUCGGCGAGCGUUUCCGGGCAUCUCCGGCAUCUCCUGCGAAAACCGACACCGCUGCGAGGUUCGUCUCGUCAUCCUCUACACCGGCACACUAUCCUUUUCUCGAAUCCAUGCUCGUUCAUCGUUUCCCUAACUUUAUCUCUUUUCCGAUGAGAAGCACCAUGGCUAAUCUUUCUUCAUCUUCUCCGGUCAUCCAGCAUCGCCUCGGCCUCCCAGUGCCCGAACCCAUGUCGCUACUGAUCCGCGGCCUUGUCGCGCUCAUCUCCCUGCGCCUGGCGUCUCUCCCAUCGCACCACGUACAGGUCGUAGG
RNAcentral lists this long non-coding RNA (1300 nucleotides) under Sorghum bicolor (sorghum). Its description in RNAcentral is "long non-coding RNA (SBIC_LNC006781)". The record is from RNAcentral. Lineage: Eukaryota; Viridiplantae; Streptophyta; Magnoliopsida; Poales; Poaceae.